UAAGUAGAUCAGGUAAUCGCCUUAAAUCCUUUUUUAAGGAGGAAAGUCCGAACUCCAAAAAGCAAGGUGCUGGAUAACGUCCAGUGGAAGUGAUUCCAAGGAAAGUGCCACAGAAAAUAUACCGCCUUAAUCUUAAAUUAAGGUAAGGGUGAAAAGGUGUGGUAAGAGCACACCGCGUUCCGGGUGAUCGGAACGGCACGGUAAACCCCACCUGGAGCAAGGUCAAAUAGAGGAGCUAUAUAGUCGCUUGCUAUGCUCCCGGGUAGACUGCUAGAAGCCUAUGGUAACAUAGGUUAAAGAUAAAUGAUUACCAAAUACAGAAUUCGGCUUAUGAUCUACUUACUUU
This 346-nucleotide RNase P RNA is filed under the name bacterium. RNAcentral's name for it is "RNase P RNA component class A". It matches the Rfam family "Bacterial RNase P class A". From Rfam's summary of the family: Ribonuclease P (RNase P) is a ubiquitous endoribonuclease, found in archaea, bacteria and eukarya as well as chloroplasts and mitochondria. Its best characterised activity is the generation of mature 5'-ends of tRNAs by cleaving the 5'-leader elements of precursor-tRNAs. Cellular RNase Ps are ribonucleoproteins. The record is from RNAcentral.